UACGUAGGGGGCAAGCGUUGUCCGGAAUCAUUGGGCGUAAAGCGCGUGUAGGCGGCUCGGUAAGUCUGCUGUGAAAGUCCAGGGCUCAACCCUGGGAUGCCGGUGGAUACUGUCGAGCUCGAGUCCGGAAGAGGCGAGUGGAAUUCCUGGUGUAGCGGUGGAAUGCGCAGAUAUCAGGAGGAACACCGAUAGCGAAGGCAGCUCGCUGGGACGGUACUGACGCUGAGGUGCGAAAGCGUGGGGAGCGAACAGG
Molecule: ribosomal RNA, 253 nt
Filed under: uncultured bacterium
Lineage: Bacteria
Description: partial 16S ribosomal RNA
Rfam family: Bacterial small subunit ribosomal RNA
Source: RNAcentral